UAGGGAAUCUUCGGCAAUGGACGAAAGUCUGACCGAGCAACGCCGCGUGAGUGAAGAAGGUUUUCGGAUCGUAAAACUCUGUUGUUAGAGAAGAACAAGGACGUUAGUAACUGAACGUCCCCUGACGGUAUCUAACCAGAAAGCCACGGCUAACUACGUGCCAGCAGCCGCGGUAAUACGUAGGUGGCAAGCGUUGUCCGGAUUUAUUGGGCGUAAAGCGAGCGCAGGCGGUUUCUUAAGUCUGAUGUGAAAGCCCCCGGCUCAACCGGGGAGGGUCAUUGGAAAGUGGGAGAAUUGAGUGAAGAAGAGGAGAGUGGAAUUACAUGUGGAGCGGUGAAAUGCGUAGAUAUAUGGAGGAACACCAGUGGCGAAGGCGGCUCUCUGGUCUGUAACUGACGCUGAGGCUCGAAAGCGUGGGGAGCAAACAGG
RNAcentral lists this ribosomal RNA (429 nucleotides) under Gemmatimonadota bacterium. RNAcentral describes it as "Gemmatimonadetes bacterium partial 16S ribosomal RNA". It matches the Rfam family "Bacterial small subunit ribosomal RNA", at positions 355 to 776 of the family's 1533-position model. Lineage: Bacteria; Pseudomonadati; Gemmatimonadota. The record is from RNAcentral.